UACGGAAGGCAGCAGUGGGGAAUAUUGCACAAUGGGCGCAAGCCUGAUGCAGCCAUGCCGCGUGUAUGAAGAAGGCCUUCGGGUUGUAAAGUACUUUCAGUCGUGAGGAAGGUGUUAAGGUUAAUAACCUUAGCAAUUGACAUUAGCGACAGAAGAAGCACCGGCUAACUCCGUGCCAGCAGCCGCGGUAAUACGGAGGGUGCGAGCGUUAAUCGGAAUUACUGGGCGUAAAGGGCACGCAGGCGGUUAAUUAAGUUGGAUGUGAAAUCCCCGGGCUUAACCUGGGAAUGGCAUUCAAGACUGGUUAGCUAGAGUCUUGUAGAGGGGGUUAGAAUUCCAUGUGUAGCGGUGAAAUGCGUAGAGAUGUGGAGGAAUACCGGUGGCGAAGGCGGCCCCUGGGACAAAGACUGACGCUCAUGUGCGAAAGCGUGGGGAGCAAACAGGAUUAGAUACC
Molecule: ribosomal RNA, 454 nt
Filed under: uncultured bacterium
Lineage: Bacteria
Description: bacterial SSU rRNA
Rfam family: Bacterial small subunit ribosomal RNA
Source: RNAcentral